AAGUCGUAACAAGGUUUCCGUAGGUGAACCUGCGGAAGGAUCAUUAAUGAAAUGAUGUUUUUUGGGGUUUUAAUCUCAAAAAAUAAUUCACCCUUUGUGCAUUGUUAUUAGAUAUACUUUGGUUAAAGCUUUGGUUCCGAAACAAUUGGGAUCAACUUCUUGCUGACUCUAUCCUUUCUGAGGACAGUUGGCUAUGAAGCGGCCUACCAAGGUUUUUUUAUCAAACUCUUGUAUUUUAUCUGACCUAAACUAUUAUAAUUAAAUCAUAACUUUCAACAACGGAUCUCUUGGCUCUC
Molecule: unclassified non-coding RNA, 296 nt
Filed under: fungal sp.
Lineage: Eukaryota; Fungi
Description: partial internal transcribed spacer region
Rfam family: Eukaryotic small subunit ribosomal RNA (bases 1-46)
Source: RNAcentral